Long non-coding RNA from Rhododendron vialii, 1160 nucleotides. RefSeq lists it as uncharacterized. The transcript is spliced from 2 exons. NCBI's taxonomy places the organism in Eukaryota, Viridiplantae, Streptophyta, Magnoliopsida, Ericales, Ericaceae. The record is from RefSeq and is a predicted model, not a curated record.
UUUAGCAUCCCCUUGGAUAGGCGUGUGGUAGUUCACCUUUUAUUUUUGUACUGUUUCCCAUAAUAGGUGUAAUAACACGUGGGUGCUUAGUGUGGUACUUCUUGUUUCUGUUGCAUGUACGGCUCUAAGUUCUAACGUUCUUGUUUUGGGUUCACCAUUAGCUUAUUGUUUGCAUCGGUAAUUAACAUUUCCGUGUUGGUUGGGUUUUGUGUUCACUUGGAUGAGGUAAUUAUCUAAACGGAGUUUUGUUCCUUGCUUCUGCUGCAAGUAUAAUUUAGAUCCUCCUAUUUUGUUUUUAUUACUACUAGUACGUGGUACCUUGUUUUUUGUUUCUGGUUGUGUGCACUUGAUACGGGGUGAUCCUCAGACCAGAGUUUGUUCUUGUUUCUGCUGCAAGAUUAGUCUCACUAUCAUAGGCUUAUAGCUUUUAUGGCCUUUUCAUUCUGCUCACUCAACAUGUUAUCCAGAAGUGAGAGUCUAAAGAAUUUACAACAUGUCAUUGAUGAAUCUCUAGUGCUGUUAACUCAAAAGGAUAUUUAGAACCGAGUCUCAAGACAUUUUCGACAUGAGCUCAAUGAAAAAAGAAGGUUCUUUAGUCUCUUGUAAAGAGGUUCAACCACUGAAAAGGUGAAUAAUAUUGUAUGUACUUAGCACAAAAAAGAGAGAGAAUAGUAUUGUACGUACCAGGUGGAUGGUGCUGCAAGAACAACGGAAUUUCCUACAGAGAACUAGGUUUAAGGUGCAAAGAAAAUGUAUGCUUUCUUUGAAGUUAUUGCAGAUAAGGUCUUCAAAGAGUAUGUUCUUCCAUACUUUGUGGGCCUGAUACUAAAAUCUGCUGAACAGAAUUGAUCCCCACUAUUUGCUGUAACAAGUUACCAAACCAAACUUUAAGUCCUAAUCAAUUGAGGUAUGCGUCCUGUUUUCUUUAAUCACUUCAUGUCAUAAGUAUCUAACGAGAUCUUUUACGUGCUAGCUGCUAGCUAUCCAAUACACAACCUCCUCCUUUAUCCGGGUUUGGGAUGGGCUGUGUGAAAAAUACGAUUCUGAGCAUGACAUGGACGGAGUUAUUUGCGGAAACAAUUCUAUAAAUUUACUUUCGAUUUUGUCCUCUAGCCAUGUAAUGAAUUUUGGGUGCCUCCUGACCAAAAAACAAAAGAAAA